RNAcentral lists this ribosomal RNA (253 nucleotides) under uncultured bacterium. RNAcentral's name for it is "partial 16S ribosomal RNA". It matches the Rfam family "Bacterial small subunit ribosomal RNA", at positions 524 to 776 of the family's 1533-position model. The record is from RNAcentral.
UACGGAGGGUGCAAGCGUUGUUCGGAUUUACUGGGCGUAAAGCGCGCGCAGGUGGGUGAACAAGUCGGAAGUGAAAUCUUGAGGCUCAACCUCGAGGCUGCUCCCGAAACUGUUCGCCUAGGGACUGGUAGAGGCUGGUAGAAUUCCCGGUGUAGCGGUGGAAUGCGUAGAGAUCGGGAAGAAUACCUGUGGCGAAAGCGGCGCACUGGACCACAACUGACGCUGAGGCGCGAAAGCUAGGGGAGCAAACAGG